Molecule: ribosomal RNA, 252 nt
Filed under: uncultured bacterium
Lineage: Bacteria
Description: partial 16S ribosomal RNA
Rfam family: Bacterial small subunit ribosomal RNA
Source: RNAcentral
UACGUAGGGUGCAAGCGUUAUCCGGAAUUAUUGGGCGUAAAGAGCUCGUAGGCGGUUUGUCGCGUCUGCUGUGAAAACUGGGGCUCAACCCCCAGCCUGCAGUGGGUACGGGCAGACUAGAGUGCGGUAGGGGAGAUUGGAAUUCCUGGUGUAGCGGUGGAAUGCGCAGAUAAUCAGGAGGACACCGAUGGCGAAGGCAGAUCUCUGGGCCGUAACUGACGCUGAGGAGCGAAAGCGUGGGGAGCGAACAGG